RNAcentral lists this ribosomal RNA (510 nucleotides) under uncultured bacterium. Its description in RNAcentral is "partial 16S ribosomal RNA". It matches the Rfam family "Bacterial small subunit ribosomal RNA", at positions 28 to 507 of the family's 1533-position model. The record is from RNAcentral.
GACGAACGCUGGCGGCGUGCUUAACACAUGCCAGUCGAACGAAGAGCGAUGGAAGCUUGCUUCUAUCAAUCUUAGUGGCGUACGGGUGAGUAACGCGUAAUCAACCUGCCCUUCAGAGGGGGACAACAGUUGGAAACGACUGCUAAUACCGCAUACGAUCUAAACUCGGCAUCGAGGAUAGAUGAAAGGUGGCCUCUACAUGUAAGCUAUCACUGAAGGAGGGGAUUGCGUCUGAUUAGCUAGUUGGAGGGGUAACGGCCCACCAAGGCGAUGAUCAGUAGCCGGGCUGAGAGGAUGAGCGGCCACAUUGGGACUGAGACACGGCCCAGACUCCUACGGGAGGCAGCAGUGGGGAAUCUUCCGCAAUGGAGGAAAGUCUGACGGAGCAACGCCGCGUGAGUGAUGAAGGCCUUCGGGUUGUAAAGCUCUGUUAAUCGGGACGAAAGGCCUUCUUGCGAAUAGUGAGAAGGAUUGACGGUACCGGAAUAGAAAGCCACGGCUAACUACGUG